Molecule: non-coding RNA, 45 nt
Organism: Schistosoma rodhaini
Lineage: Eukaryota; Metazoa; Platyhelminthes; Trematoda; Strigeidida; Schistosomatidae
Source: Rfam
AUCCACCAGACGAGUCCCAAAUAGGAUGAAGCGCGCGUCCCGGAU